RNAcentral lists this ribosomal RNA (889 nucleotides) under uncultured bacterium. RNAcentral describes it as "bacterial SSU rRNA". It matches the Rfam family "Bacterial small subunit ribosomal RNA", at positions 8 to 912 of the family's 1533-position model. The record is from RNAcentral.
AGAGUUUGAUCCUGGCUCAGGAUGAACGCUGGCGGCGUGCCUAAUACAUGCAAGUCGAACGGUGUAUAUGAGCAAUCGUAUACAUAGUGGCGAACGGGUGAGUAACGCGUUGGUGACCUGCCCUAAAGCGGGGGACAACAGCUCGAAAGGGCUGCUAAUACCCCAUACAGUUGUGAGAGAUUAGAAACUUGCAACGAAAGGAGUAAUCCACUUUAGGAGGGGCCUGCGUCCCAUCAGCUAGUUGGUAGGGUAACGGCCUACCAAGGCGUAGACGGGUAGGGGACCUGAGAGGGUGGCCCCCCACAAUGGAACUGAAACACGGUCCAUACACCUACGGGUGGCAGCAGUAGGGAAUAUUGCACCAUGGGCGAAAGCCUGAUGCAGCAACGCCGCGUGAGUGAUGAAGGCCUUCGGGUCGUAAAACUCUUUUCAAGGGAAAGAGGAAGGACGGUACCCUUGGAAUAAGCAUCGGCUAACUACGUGCCAGCAGCCGCGGUAACACGUAGGAUGCAAGCGUUAUUCGGAUUUACUGGGCGUAAAGCGCGUGUAGGCGGUUAGGAGAGUUGGAUGUGAAAGCUCCCGGCUUAACUGGGAGAGGUCGUUCAAAACUUCCUGACUAGAGUUUGGUAGAGGAAAAUGGAAUUCCGGGUGUAGUGGUGAAAUGCGUAGAUAUCCGGAGGAACACCAGUGGCGAAAGCGAUUUUCUGGACCGAUACUGACGCUCAGACGCGAAAGCUAGGGUAGCAAACGGGAUUAGAGACCCCGGUAGUCCUAGCUGUAAACGAUGUAGACUUGGCGUUGGGAGAGUAAAAUCAUCCAGUGCCGAAGCAAACGCGAUAAGUCUACCGCCUGGGGAGUACGGCCGCAAGGUUAAAACUCAAAGGAAUUG